Molecule: non-coding RNA, 112 nt
Organism: Acanthosepion pharaonis
Lineage: Eukaryota; Metazoa; Mollusca; Cephalopoda; Sepiida; Sepiidae
Source: the annotation of a GenBank genome assembly
UACGGUCACAUCACAUUCAAUCAUCGGUUCCCGUACGGCCACUGAAGUUAAGCAACUUAGAACCUGGUCAUUACCUUGAUAGGUGACCGCUUGGGAAUACCAGGUGCUGUAA